AUGUUCUGUUCCGUGUUCCGUGUUCUAUGUUUGUUACGAAUCUGUGUGCUUUCCUCUGCUUUAUAUUCCUGCAUCCCUGCUUUACUCUGUUUUAUAUUCCUUAUGGCUGCAGUAUCUAUGUUAUGUCAUCUGCUUCUGUGCUGUACUAUGUGUUUGUUUGAUAUCUCGUAACUUGAGCCGGGGGUCUUUCGGAAACAGCCUUUCUACUUCAUCAGAGGUAGAGGUAUGGCCUGCGUACAUCUUACCCCCCCC
Molecule: long non-coding RNA, 252 nt
Filed under: Capsicum annuum
Lineage: Eukaryota; Viridiplantae; Streptophyta; Magnoliopsida; Solanales; Solanaceae
Description: long non-coding RNA (CANN_LNC004726)
Source: RNAcentral